AUGCACGCUGGCGGCGUGCCUAAUACAUGCAAGUCGAGCGAACAGAUGAGGAGCUUGCUCCUCUGACGUUAGCGGCGGACGGGUGAGUAACACGUGGAUAACCUACCUAUAAGACUGGGAUAACUUCGGGAAACCGGAGCUAAUACCGGACAAUAUAUUGAACCGCAUGGUUCAAUAGUGAAAGACGGUUUUGCUGUCACUUAUAGAUGGAUCCGCGCCGCAUUAGCUAGUUGGUAAGGUAACGGCUUACCAAGGCAACGAUGCGUAGCCGACCUGAGAGGGUGAUCGGCCACACUGGAACUGAGACACGGUCCAGACUCCUACGGGAGGCAGCAGUAGGGAAUCUUCCGCAAUGGGCGAAAGCCUGACGGAGCAACGCCGCGUGAGUGAUGAAGGUCUUCGGAUCGUAAAACUCUGUUAUUAGGGAAGAACAAAUGUGUAAGUAACUAUGCACGUCUUGACGGUACCUAAUCAGAAAGCCACGGCUAACUACGUG
This 496-nucleotide ribosomal RNA is filed under the name uncultured bacterium. Its description in RNAcentral is "partial 16S ribosomal RNA". It matches the Rfam family "Bacterial small subunit ribosomal RNA", at positions 29 to 507 of the family's 1533-position model. The record is from RNAcentral.